GGCGGCGUAGCUCAGUUGGUCAGAGCAUGCGGUUCAUACCCGCAGCGUCCGGGGUUCAAGUCCCUGCGCCGCCACCA
Molecule: transfer RNA, 77 nt
Filed under: Desulfotomaculum sp.
Lineage: Bacteria; Bacillati; Bacillota; Clostridia; Eubacteriales; Desulfotomaculaceae
Description: tRNA-Met
Rfam family: tRNA
About the family: Transfer RNA (tRNA) molecules are approximately 80 nucleotides in length. Their secondary structure includes four short double-helical elements and three loops (D, anti-codon, and T loops).
Source: RNAcentral